Molecule: ribosomal RNA, 683 nt
Filed under: uncultured bacterium
Lineage: Bacteria
Description: bacterial SSU rRNA
Rfam family: Bacterial small subunit ribosomal RNA
Source: RNAcentral
GAGUUUGAUCAUGGCUCAGAUUGAACGCUGGCGGCAUGCUUUACACAUGCAAGUCGAGCGGCAGCGCGGGGGCAACCCUGGCGGCGAGCGGCGAACGGGUGAGUAAUACAUCGGAACGUACCCCGUAGUGGGGGAUAACCCGGCGAAAGCCGGACUAAUACCGCAUAUGCUCUACGGAGGAAAGUGGGGGACCCGCAAGGGCCUCAUGCUAUGGGAGCGGCCGAUGUCCGAUUAGCUUGUUGGCGGGGUAAAGGCCCACCAAGGCGACGGUCGGUAGCUGGUCUGAGAGGAUGAUCAGCCACACUGGGACUGAGACACGGCCCAGACUCCUACGGGAGGCAGCAGUGGGGAAUUUUGGACAAUGGGGGCAACCCUGAUCCAGCCAUGCCGCGUGCGGGAAGAAGGCCUUCGGGUUGUAAACCGCUUUUGUCCGGGAAGAAAAGGCAUCUCCUAAUACGAGGUGCUCUUGACGGUACUGGAAGAAUAAGCACCGGCUAACUACGUGCCAGCAGCCGCGGUAAUACGUAGGGUGCGGGCGUUAAUCGGAAUUACUGGGCGUAAAGCGUGCGCAGGCGGUUCGUCAAGUCUGAUGUGAAAGCCCCGGGCUCAACCUGGGAACUGCAUUGGAUACUAGCGAGCUUGAGUGUGGCAGAGGGGGGUGGAAUUCCACGUGUAGCAGUGAA